GACGUGCUAAUCUGCGAUAAGCGUCGGUAAGGUGAUAUGAACCGUUAUAACCGGCGAUUUCCGAAUGGGGAAACCCAGUGUGAUUCGUCACACUAUCAUUAACUGAAUCCAUAGGUUAAUGAGGCGAACCGGGGGAACUGAAACAUCUAAGUACCCCGAGGAAAAGAAAUCAACCGAGAUUCCCCCAGUAGCGGCGAGCGAACGGGGAGCAGCCCAGAGCCUGAAUCAGUGUGUGUGUUAGUGGAAGCGUCUGGAAAGGCGUGCGAUACAGGGUGACAGCCCCGUACACAAAAAUGCACAUACUGUGAGCUCGAUGAGUAGGGCGGGACACGUGGUAUCCUGUCUGAAUAUGGGGGGACCAUCCUCCAAGGCUAAAUACUCCUGACUGACCGAUAGUGAACCAGUACCGUGAGGGAAAGGCGAAAAGAACCCCGGCGAGGGGAGUGAAAAAGAACCUGAAACCGUGUACGUACAAGCAGUGGGAGCACGCUUAGGCGUGUGACUGCGUACCUUUUGUAUAAUGGGUCAGCGACUUAUAUUCUGUAGCAAGGUUAACCGAAUAGGGGAGCCGAAGGGAAACCGAGUCUUAACUGGGCGUUAAGUUGCAGGGUAUAGACCCGAAACCCGGUGAUCUAGCCAUGGGCAGGUUGAAGGUUGGGUAACACUAACUGGAGGACCGAACCGACUAAUGUUGAAAAAUUAGCGGAUGACUUGUGGCUGGGGGUGAAAGGCCAAUCAAACCGGGAGAUAGCUGGUUCUCCCCGAAAGCUAUUUAGGUAGCGCCUCGUGAAUUCAUCUCCGGGGGUAGAGCACUGUUUCGGCAAGGGGGUCAUCCCGACUUACCAACCCGAUGCAAACUGCGAAUACCGGAGAAUGUUAUCACGGGAGACACACGGCGGGUGCUAACGUCCGUCGUGAAGAGGGAAACAACCCAGACCGCCAGCUAAGGUCCCAAAGUCAUGGUUAAGUGGGAAACGAUGUGGGAAGGCCCAGACAGCCAGGAUGUUGGCUUAGAAGCAGCCAUCAUUUAAAGAAAGCGUAAUAGCUCACUGGUCGAGUCGGCCUGCGCGGAAGAUGUAACGGGGCUAAACCAUGCACCGAAGCUGCGGCAGCGACGCUUAUGCGUUGUUGGGUAGGGGAGCGUUCUGUAAGCCUGUGAAGGUGUGCUGUGAGGUAUGCUGGAGGUAUCAGAAGUGCGAAUGCUGACAUAAGUAACGAUAAAGCGGGUGAAAAGCCCGCUCGCCGGAAGACCAAGGGUUCCUGUCCAACGUUAAUCGGGGCAGGGUGAGUCGACCCCUAAGGCGAGGCCGAAAGGCGUAGUCGAUGGGAAACAGGUUAAUAUUCCUGUACUUGGUGUUACUGCGAAGGGGGGACGGAGAAGGCUAUGUUGGCCGGGCGACGGUUGUCCCGGUU
Molecule: ribosomal RNA, 1413 nt
Filed under: Shigella flexneri
Lineage: Bacteria; Pseudomonadati; Pseudomonadota; Gammaproteobacteria; Enterobacterales; Enterobacteriaceae
Description: partial 23S ribosomal RNA
Rfam family: Bacterial large subunit ribosomal RNA
Source: RNAcentral